RNAcentral lists this ribosomal RNA (368 nucleotides) under uncultured organism. RNAcentral describes it as "bacterial SSU rRNA". It matches the Rfam family "Bacterial small subunit ribosomal RNA", at positions 526 to 896 of the family's 1533-position model. The record is from RNAcentral.
CGGAGGAUCCAAGCGUUAUCCGGAUUCAUUGGGCUUAAAGGGUGCGUAGGCGGAAUGAUAAGUCAGUGGUGAAAGCCUGCAGCUUAACUGCAGAACUGCCAUUGAUACUGUCAAUCUUGAGUACAUUUGAUGUGGGCGGAAUGUGUCAUGUAGCGGUGAAAUGCUUAGAUAUGACACAGAACACCGAUUGCGAAGGCAGCUCACAAAACUGUAACUGACGCUGAGGCACGAAAGCGUGGGUAUCAAACAGGAUUAGAUACCCUGGUAGUCCACGCUGUAAACUAUGAUCACUCGAUGUUUGCGAUAUACUGUAAGCGUCUAAGCGAAAGCGAUAAGUGAUCCACCUGGGGAGUACGCCGGCAACGGUG